This is a long non-coding RNA of Tupaia belangeri chinensis (Chinese tree shrew), 309 nucleotides long. RefSeq lists it as uncharacterized. The transcript has 2 exons. NCBI's taxonomy places the organism in Eukaryota, Metazoa, Chordata, Mammalia, Scandentia, Tupaiidae. The record is from RefSeq and is a predicted model, not a curated record.
GCUAGGGAGCCCCCGGCUGUUUAACCUGCCCUUCGCCUAUCAGCGCCUGGCACGCUUCCGCUGUGAGCUGCUGAGGCGAGGCGUCCAGGCUCAGCCCCUCGACGUAGGCUACUGUGAGCAGGAGUUCAAGCAGCCCUGAGCCAGCAGCCCCGGCACCAAGGACAGUGCCCUUGGAGAUGCAGCAGGCGUCUGCCCUGCACCCCGGUCGGCCCCGGGGUCCCUUGCCCACGUCUCCUGUGGCCGAAGAGAAGGAGGCGGGUGCUGGCACCGGCGUCCAAUAAAGAGCGAUGAGGCCUUUUUCUAUCAUGA